CUGCUCAAUGCAAUUUGUAAAUAGCCGCAGUAUUCUGACUGUGCUAAGGUAGCAUAAUCAUUAGUCUUUUAAUUGAAGGCUGGUAUGAAUGGUGAGACGAGAAAGCAGCUGUCUCUAAUAUAAGUUUUUGAAUUUCAUUUCUUAGUGAAAAAGCUAAGAUAAUUUUGAAGGACGAUCAGACCCUAUGGAGCUUUAUUUAUUUAGAAAACCUAAGUUUGUUUUAGCAUGAUUGGGAAACUAGUAAAUUUUGUUGGGGCGACAGAGAGUUGAAAAUAACACUCUUUUUAUAAAACAAUAGUAUUUGAAUAAUUGAUCCUUUUUGCAAGAUUAAAAGACUAAGUUACCCUAGGGAUAACAGCGUAAUCUUUUUGGAGAGUUCUAAUCGAUAAAAAGGUUUGCGACCUCGAUGUUGGAUUAAGAGAUUAACAAGGUGCAGAAGUUUUGUUGGAGAGUCUGUUCGACUCU
RNAcentral lists this ribosomal RNA (465 nucleotides) under Daphnia dadayana. RNAcentral's name for it is "LSU rRNA". It matches the Rfam family "Bacterial large subunit ribosomal RNA", at positions 1859 to 2588 of the family's 2925-position model. The record is from RNAcentral. Lineage: Eukaryota; Metazoa; Arthropoda; Branchiopoda; Diplostraca; Daphniidae.